CCUACGGGAGGCAGCAGUGGGGAAUCUUGCGCAAUGGGCGAAAGCCUGACGCAGCCAUGCCGCGUGUAUGAUGAAGGUCUUAGGAUUGUAAAAUACUUUCACCGGUGAAGAUAAUGACUGUAGCCGGAGAAGAAGCCCCGGCUAACUUCGUGCCAGCAGCCGCGGUAAUACGAAGGGGGCUAGCGUUGCUCGGAAUUACUGGGCGUAAAGGGAGCGUAGGCGGACAUUUAAGUCAGGGGUGAAAUCCCAGAGCUCAACUCUGGAACUGCCUUUGAUACUGGGUGUCUUGAGUGUGAUAGAGGUAUGUGGAACUCCGAGUGUAGAGGUGAAAUUCGUAGAUAUUCGGAAGAACACCAGUGGCGAAGGCGACAUACUGGAUCAUUACUGACGCUGAGGCUCGAAAGCGUGGGGAGCAAACAGGAUUAGAUACCCUGGUAGUCCACGCCGUAAACGAUGAUNUNUAGUGUCGGUAGUGUUACUAUCUCGUGACGC
Molecule: ribosomal RNA, 492 nt
Filed under: uncultured bacterium
Lineage: Bacteria
Description: bacterial SSU rRNA
Rfam family: Bacterial small subunit ribosomal RNA
Source: RNAcentral